Molecule: ribosomal RNA, 253 nt
Filed under: uncultured bacterium
Lineage: Bacteria
Description: partial 16S ribosomal RNA
Rfam family: Bacterial small subunit ribosomal RNA
Source: RNAcentral
UACGAAGGGUGCAAGCGUUAAUCGGAAUUACUGGGCGUAAAGCGCGCGUAGGUGGUUCAGUAAGUUGGAAGUGAAAUCCCCGGGCUCAACCUGGGAACUGCUUUCAAAACUGCUGAGCUAGAGUACGGUAGAGGGUGGUGGAAUUUCCUGUGUAGCGGUGAAAUGCGUAGAUAUAGGAAGGAACACCAGUGGCGAAGGCGACCACCUGGACUGAUACUGACGCUGAGGUGCGAAAGCGUGGGGAGCAAACAGG